Molecule: ribosomal RNA, 253 nt
Filed under: uncultured bacterium
Lineage: Bacteria
Description: partial 16S ribosomal RNA
Rfam family: Bacterial small subunit ribosomal RNA
Source: RNAcentral
UACGUAGGGUGCGAGCGUUAUUCGGAAUUAUUGGGCGUAAAGCGUGCGUAGGCGGCUUUGCAAGUCCGCUGUGAAAUCCCCGGGCUUAACCUGGGAAUGGCAUUUGGGACUGCAAGGCUGGAGUGCGGCAGAGGAGACUGGAAUUCCUGGUGUAGCAGUGAAAUGCGUAGAUAUCAGGAGGAACACCGAUGGCGAAGGCAGGUCUCUGGGCUGACACUGACGCUCAUGCACGAAAGCGUGGGGAGCAAACAGG